GCAUCAUGACGUAGAAGCUGUUCCCAACAUCAACAAAUAUGGCUUUAAUAGGUCUUACAGCGGAAAGAACGCUACCCUGUACGGACAAGGUGUGUACUUCGCCGUGGAUGCAAGCAUCUCUUCUAUGGACAUGUACUCUCCUCCAGACACCUAUGGUAUCAAAUAUGUCUACAGGGCUCGGGUCCUGACGGGCAGAUACACCAAGGGGGAUGCCAAAAUGAGGGACCCUCCCCUUGUUGACCCUACUCGCUCUGUCAGGUUUACCUCAACCACAAACAACACUUCACGACCAUCGCUGUUCUGCAUCUAUCGGGACGCACAUUCCUACCCAGAGUACCUGAUCUCUUUCCAGCUGUCACUGCCUCAAACAUCAUAGAUCAGAACUCGGGACAGCGUCAGAAGGGCAGCUUUGAUCAUAGACUUGAGGACCUGCUUGUGUAACAAAUAUUGUUUUCUUCGUUCAUGUCCAAGUCUUUCAAAGCAAAUGGUAGCCACUAUAACCUGCUUUUACUUCAUAAUCACUACUAAACAUUAUUCCAUAGCGAUAUUUGUAAUAGUUCGAAUUCUGUAAAUUGGUUGUGGAGAAAUGGGCGCUUAUAGGUAAUUGUGUUCAUAAAUUCAGGUUAUUCAAUUUUAGUUUACAACAUUAUAAAUUGAUUGUGGAGAAAGGGGGAUUAUGGGUAAUUGUGUUAUUAAACUCAGAUGUUUCAAUUGUAGUUUACAAAUGUCUGUUACAAUUUAGUUUUGGUAUGUGAACAUUACAAAAAUGUUCUAGGUUGUUGAGUUGUAUGUAAACAAAAAGUCUUUAUCUGACAAAAAAUGACAAUAAUGAAAGAGAGAGGCAUUGACUAAUCUGCCACGCAUAUUCCACAGGGUUCCAACGGUGUAAAUGAAUGACUAGUAUAGGGGAGGUAACUGUACAUGGGUCAAACACAUUAGUGAAACAAACAUCAGUGGAACCACAUUAUUAAACGAUAUUGCAUUGGGACGAGUAUUUUGUUUUCUUCUAAAUGUGUCUGGGUCACUGAAACAUUUUGAAUCAUUUUAUUCAUUAUAUUUGUACUGGUUCUGUUAAGUCUGAGGGGUUUAAGGAGAAUUAUACAAAAAAUCAAUCAACGAGUAUUUAAUUUCUUCAAAUAUUUUCUCGUUAUUUACAUUACUAUUAAAGUUUUCAUUUUUUCAUUUUACAUCGAAUGGAUUUUCGUAAUGCCAAUAAUUUCCUAUUCCUUGAAAUGAUUUCAAAACAAGAAAUUUUGAUUUUUUUUCUUGAUGCUUCCAUUAUUUUCUCGUAAUUGUGAGUAUUUUCUCUGUUUUCUUGUUUAGGAAGACGUAUUCAUGUUGACAUAACUUUUUUAAAAGUUUCCGAUAUAUCCUGGUUACGUUCAUAUUUUUCCACUUGAAUUCAAACUGUGAAAAUUCUAUGCCAGAGAAUACCUCAUACGAACCUCAUAAAAUGGGAUGGCAUAGCACAUCAAGUUCACAUAUGACGAGUCAUAUUUAGUUAAUCCACCAGCAUGUAAAUGUAAUUUGUUUCAUAGUAACCAGUUUUGACUCUCCUCAGAAACAUUCAAUGUCGCGCACAGGGCAAAAUAGCUGUUACAAUUGUGUGACUUGAACAUCAGCGGUCUUGAAAAGCAGCAUGCCCUGCCGGACCAAUAGUACUCGUGACUCAUGUAAUUUUCUUAAAACAGUGAGCAUAGCUUGUGUGACACCGCAUAUCUUGUGUGACACCGUACAAUAAUCCUGCAAUGCGAUGGUGGUUCGGUUAGUAUUGUAGAAACACAGGAUUACCUUCAAGGCCUACAGGAAGUAAGGGCAAACGAGCACAGUGUGGGAAGAACUUGGUGACAUCCUCGUUGAUCUUGUAGUCUGUCUGGAGGUCGACGUUCUGUGUUUUCCUCUACACGCAGUGGGCAAAAUGAAAGUAACAUCCUUUCCAGGCGGAAUCGGGAAACAAUCGAACUCUCGUAACUGUACAUAGGCCAUUGUAAAAAUGAUACUAGCUUUUGUAACUUGAUGGUAUUUAUACAAUAUGUAAGAUCUGUAAGUGUACUGUGUGGCACUGAUUGAGUGAGCAAAUUAAUUAUGUUUUUCAAAGUGUAGUUGGAUUCCAUUGUGUAAAAGGCCAAACAGUGUUCAAAAUAAACAGAGAUAUCAUCAGAAACGUAAUUGUCAUUCAUCAACAUGGAGGGGGAAAUGAAAAAUUGAAUGGUCCCAGCUAUAUCAUCAUAAUUUCAACUCAAACAUCCAGAUAUUACACGUAUCGGCUUUUGAGGUAAAGCUAUUCAUU
Molecule: long non-coding RNA, 2290 nt
Filed under: Haliotis rubra (blacklip abalone)
Lineage: Eukaryota; Metazoa; Mollusca; Gastropoda; Lepetellida; Haliotidae
Description: uncharacterized LOC124268139
Source: RNAcentral